Molecule: long non-coding RNA, 1603 nt
Organism: Canis lupus familiaris (dog)
Lineage: Eukaryota; Metazoa; Chordata; Mammalia; Carnivora; Canidae
Exons: 2
Source: RefSeq, a predicted model, not a curated record
GGAAAAGAUUGAGCUCUUCAUUAACCUUGACCCAGAAUCCUGCAGAUCUCAAAGGCAGCUACUCAAGGCCUCCAUACCGUAGACAAUUCAAUGGAAGGGUGGAAGACAAAAUAAACAGAUGACUGAGGCCAAAAAUAGAACUUCACGUGUAUCUCAAGGCUUUCUUCUUCAGUGUUCUGACAAACUAAAUCAAAAUUCAACAAGCCUUUCAUACGCUAUUGGAGAACAGACCAACAGACAAAUUUGAAAGGACAAAUACUUGAAAGGAAAUAGUGCAUUUCAUGCGGGCAACUAUGGCUAUGGUCCACCCGAACCCAAGGUAAAUAUUGACAUCAGCCAACUCAUGUUGACCAACACCCACUUUCAUUGCCUAACACCCAGCAUAUGUUCAGGAAGUCGGCAGCUCCAUGUUUAGCCAACCACAGCCAACAGUUGCUAUUUGGUUAACACUGACAUUAUCUGGCAAAUAUUUGGGACAGACCCUUGCCCCGUUAUCAUUUCAGUUCUCAGAUGACUGCUUCAUACUGAGGCUGCUGACCACUGCGUGGACCUGCAUUGAGACACCCUUCUUCUUGCCUUGCUCCCCUAACUGUUAGACCCCCCACCAAGAGAUUAGUCAACUUCUCUCCUCAUUUUAUAAAAGGAAAGCAACCAAGGCCGGAGAAGGAUUGAUGGCUUACCCCAAAUCACAGACAAAGCUGACAUUACUGAGAAAGCCAGCCAGAGCCUGAGGAUCGGUCAGUGAUCAAAAAAUGAAAGACGUUACAUAUGGCCCAACCAAGGAUGGAAACAUGUCCCCCAGCUCUUAAGCAGUGCCUGGACCAGGUGAAGGAGUACAAAGCAUGUAUGAGACAGGGAGUCUCCUGUUUAGGAGCUCUUUCUUCUCCUUCCCCCUCUUCUUUUCCAAAACCUAGAAAGCUGACUACCAGUCAGACCAUAGAGCAAAACACUGUGGUAAAAGCAUGGAUUCCAAUAAUCCAAGCCAAGGUGGCACAAAUUAUAUUAUAGACUCCCCAUGUUGUCACACAGACAUGCAAAGAUGGCAAGAAACAUAAAACAGACGUACAGAAACUGUAUGUUUCUUUUUUAGGGAGUUAAAGGGUUGUUUUCCUUUGAAACUGUCAGGUUUCUUUCCCCUUCAUCCUCAUUAGCCUCCUGGGACACUCUUAAACAUACCCAGAAAACAAGAGAGCAGAGGGAAUGAGGUAUUUUUAGCUGAUAUUCCGGGCACACAUUCCUAUUGUUCCACAAUUUUUGGCUUGGCUGGAUGGCACGUGGCCAAUACAAUGUAUACUCUGACAAAGACUGUAUGCUUCCUGGGUUCUAUGAGUGGGAGAGAGAGAGAGACAGAGACAUAGAAAGAGUGUGUGUGUGUGUGUGUGUGUGCGCGCGCACGCGCGCGCGGGAGUGAUAAAAGUAAGAAGGACAAGGACAUUAUUGAUGAUGUUUUGAUGGGAAAGAUUCUGAGAUCCCAGCAGGGGGCAACACUGAGCUCUCUAUGAAUUCUGUUUGCUUUUGUCACCUUCACUUUUCAUGACUACCACUGUGCCAUACAUCCAGGAAAAAAAAAAAAAAGAAACAGACAUACUGUCACAGCCCAAGA